Molecule: ribosomal RNA, 754 nt
Filed under: uncultured bacterium
Lineage: Bacteria
Description: bacterial SSU rRNA
Rfam family: Bacterial small subunit ribosomal RNA
Source: RNAcentral
GCGAACGGGUGAGUAACACGUGGGUGAUCUGCCCUGCACUUUGGGAUAAGCCUGGGAAACUGGGUCUAAUACCGAAUAGGACCACGCGCUUCAUGGUGUGUGGUGGAAAGCUUUUGCGGUGUGGGAUGGGCCCGCGGCCUAUCAGCUUGUUGGUGGGGUAAUGGCCUACCAAGGCGACGACGGGUAGCCGGCCUGAGAGGGUGACCGGCCACACUGGGACUGAGAUACGGCCCAGACUCCUACGGGAGGCAGCAGUGGGGAAUAUUGCACAAUGGGCGCAAGCCUGAUGCAGCGACGCCGCGUGAGGGAUGACGGCCUUCGGGUUGUAAACCUCUUUCAAUAGGGACGAAGCGCAAGUGACGGUACCUAUAGAAGAAGCACCGGCCAACUACGUGCCAGCAGCCGCGGUAAUACGUAGGGUGCGAGCGUUGUCCGGAAUUACUGGGCGUAAAGAGCUCGUAGGUGGUUUGUCGCGUUGUUCGUGAAAACUCACAGCUUAACUGUGGGCGUGCGGGCGAUACGGGCAGACUAGAGUACUGCAGGGGAGACUGGAAUUCCUGGUGUAGCGGUGGAAUGCGCAGAUAUCAGGAGGAACACCGGUGGCGAAGGCGGGUCUCUGGGCAGUAACUGACGCUGAGGAGCGAAAGCGUGGGGAGCGAACAGGAUUAGAUACCCUGGUAGUCCANNNCGUAAACGGNNNNNNCUAGGUGUGGGUUCCUUCCUUGGGAUCCGUGCCGUAGNNNNNGCAUUAAGU